GCACAAGCGGUGGAGUAUGUGGUUAAUUCGAUGCAACGCGAAGAACCUUACUGGGUUGGAGACCCCUGGAAUCCUGCAGAGAUGUGGGAGUGCUCUUUUAGAGAAUCAGGUGUCCAGGUGCUGCAUGGUUGUCGUCAGCUCGUGUCGUGAGAUGUUGGGUUAAAGUCCCGCAACGAGCGCAACCCCUGUUGUUAGUUGCCAGCGAUUCGGUCGGGCACUCUAAAGAGACUGCCGGUGUCAAACCGGAGGAAGGUGGGGAUGACGUCAAGUCCUCAUGGCCCUUACGUCCAGGGCUACACACGUGCUACAAUGGCCGGUACAAAGGGCUGCAAUACCGCAAGGUGGAGCGAACCCCAAAAAGCCGGUCUCAGUUCGGAUUGGAGUCUGCAACUCGACUCCAUGAAGUUGGAAUCGCUAGUAAUCGCGGAUCAGCAUGCCGCGGUGAAUACGUUCCCGGGCCUU
RNAcentral lists this ribosomal RNA (462 nucleotides) under uncultured Pelobacter sp. RNAcentral describes it as "bacterial SSU rRNA". It matches the Rfam family "Bacterial small subunit ribosomal RNA", at positions 923 to 1382 of the family's 1533-position model. Lineage: Bacteria; Pseudomonadati; Thermodesulfobacteriota; Desulfuromonadia; Desulfuromonadales; Desulfuromonadaceae. The record is from RNAcentral.